This 2428-nucleotide long non-coding RNA is filed under the name Parus major (Great Tit). Its description in RNAcentral is "lncRNA (ENSPMJG00000005220.1)". The record is from RNAcentral. Lineage: Eukaryota; Metazoa; Chordata; Aves; Passeriformes; Paridae.
CUCAGAAGAGAAAGAGCUGAAAUGAAACCAAGAGCUUUGCCUGCUCUGAGCUUCUGUAGAAAAGAUUGAAGCGGGGGACCGGCACUUUCCAGCAAGGGCUGCGUGUAGCGCCCAUCGCCUCACGGGCCGCUCCCGGCCCUGCUGCCGCUCCCUCACAGAGCUGUGCCCACACGGCCCGCUGCCGCGGCCCGGCCGGCCGAGGAGCUGCCCCUGAGGGCAGGGGAAGGGAGGUGUCCUGCUCACCCUGCACCCCUGGGAAAGGGGUGCCAGCAGCCAGAGGCUCAGGAGGACCAGGUGAGGAGCAGCCCAUCGAGGAGAGUCAAGUGGUGGGGCCGGCUCUGUGCAGCCACAGAGCCCUCUUGUGUUGUCUGCUGGGUUGCAGACCAGCCAGAAGAGCAGCCGGUUCCUUUCACGAGACCAAGCAAGGCAACCUUCCUUUGGACCCAUCUCCGUUCAGUGCUGUCUCCCUUUGAGGGAAGCCACCUCAGGCACCGGGACUUUGUGCAGUGGAGACUAAUGAGAUUAAUGGCAGCAACACAAAGAGUAAGGGUAUGCAAAGGCCAUAGGAGAGGUCACAAAGCAUCUUGUGCCACAUGGUGUUGUAGCUGUCCUGAAAGCUGCCAGGAAAGCUCAGCUCCUGUCCUUCGGAAAACCAUCUCGAGAAUGAAGUCAGGAGCUGCUCUAAAUUCAGCCACUGUCCCUUCAGGAUGGGCUAGGGAUGUACAAAGCAAAAGCCUGCUGCCUUGAUGUAUACAUUGUGUAGGCUGUAAGGAGCAUCUCUAGCACAGAGCAAGGCAGAGGAAUGGGAUCCAGUGGCUGUACAGGGAAUAACAGCUCUGAACUACUCUGUGAAUGAAGCAAUAGAGGAGACCAGCUUUGCCUUGAUGGAGGGUGCACGUGGGCCUGCAGGAAUAAUUUGAAAGGAUUGGACUUUGAAAAAUUCUCUGCAGCCAAGCUAAGAAAGCCUUCAUUGGGCUGACCUGAUGUGUUGAAAUGUCUUUCAUAGCUCAGUUCUGAAAGCCUUCCUGUCCGAACCUGAAACCUCUUUGUCACUAUUAUACCCUGAGCCAUCACACAGAGCCCAUUUUUUGCCAUUCAACUGUUCUGCCCACAUGAAAGGAUGGAGCUUAGUCUCACCUGGAACUAUCACCAAUGUUGCACUGUUCUGUGGCCAAAACCCGUGCCAGGAACAGCCACUGAAUGUCACACAACUGAUUGAUAUGGCAAAGUGGUGAAUUUUGGGAUGCACAGCUUUGGGUCCUGUCUCCCAGGCUUGCUGAACCUCAGAAGCCUGAGCAGAAACAUGUGGUCUUCUUUGACUCUUUGUAGGUUCCAUGUCCCAAAUGCUGAUAGCAAGACUGAGGUAAUUUCAGGUGCUGAGAAUGAGUAAUUGCAAAUUCUCAUUCUCUGCAUAUGUAUGGCUAACAGUAAACAGCUGGUCAGGAGUAUCUGGCUCUUGGACUAGUUGACUUGAAGUCCUGUAGCUUCAGUGAAUUUUAAAACAGGGCUUUCCAGGGGAUCUUCAAAAUACUGACCUCUGGCAAGAAAGAUCAUAAUUUGCUGAAAUAAUCAAAGCUUGGCAUAUAACAGCCUCAGGACCCUUUCUCCCUUUGCCCCAGACUUACAUUGAAUGAAUUUAAUGCCCUGGUAGCUGUAGUGUCUUGCUUCAUACAAACACUAACAGUGAAUUGGUCCAACAGUUGUGCUGGAAAUAGCAUGCUAUCUCUUUGCCUCCUCCUUCUCUUCCUCCUGCCUGUCAUUUUUGUUUGCUUGCUUGCUUUUGUUUUUCUUUCUUGGCAUGGGAGAUUUAUCAUAUUUGGGAUAUAGAUUCCUGGGGCCAUGAAAAGCUUGAGAAAACUUUAACAGUGUUUUUGGGGCCUUAAAAUUCAAAAUCUUAAGCUUGGUUAAGUAAGCAAGUCUGGGCAAAUGGUGAAUGCCAGUGAUCUGCUCUUUUGAAAUGGAGAGCUAUCUUAGUGGAACAGACUCUGCUUUGAAUCAGGUAAAAUGUAUAAAAUGUACCACCUCAGACACACCUCACACUGACAGGCAUGAGCUGUGUGCAGAUUGGUAAAAUCUGUCUGUGUUUUCCCUGGUGUUUUUCUUGAGUGCAAGCAUUUGUUCUACUUUGACUUUAAUUAGUCCCUCAUAGUGCUGCUCUGACAGACUAAAUUAGGUGUCAGUAAUAAUAUACUUUGUAAAUGCUAUGUCUGUACAGAAAUUCUCCAUGCCAAGGCUAGGAUUAUUUUCCAUGUCUAUCCACUGCACGUAAUUAUCCAUUAAUGUAGAAAUAUAUGAGGAGCACUGGCUACGUCUUAUAUUGUUCCAUUUCUCAGGUAUUACUCCUGUUAUUAGUGGCUUAUCCACAGGACAGCAAGUCUGCUCCUCAAUCAAGUGAAAUAAAUGUUUAAUAUGGAGAUAAGGUGUAGCA